UGGCUCAGUGGUAGAGUGCUUGCCUUACAUGCAUGAGGCCCUAGGUUUGAUUCCCAG
RNAcentral lists this transfer RNA (57 nucleotides) under Dipodomys ordii (Ord's kangaroo rat). It matches the Rfam family "tRNA", at positions 8 to 63 of the family's 71-position model. Rfam says of the family: Transfer RNA (tRNA) molecules are approximately 80 nucleotides in length. Their secondary structure includes four short double-helical elements and three loops (D, anti-codon, and T loops). Lineage: Eukaryota; Metazoa; Chordata; Mammalia; Rodentia; Heteromyidae. The record is from Rfam by way of RNAcentral.